RNAcentral lists this ribosomal RNA (497 nucleotides) under uncultured bacterium. RNAcentral's name for it is "partial 16S ribosomal RNA". It matches the Rfam family "Bacterial small subunit ribosomal RNA", at positions 28 to 507 of the family's 1533-position model. The record is from RNAcentral.
GAUGAACGCUGGCGGCGUGCCUAAUACAUGCAAGUCGAGCGAACAGACGAGGAGCUUGCUCCUCUGACGUUAGCGGCGGACGGGUGAGUAACACGUGGAUAACCUACCUAUAAGACUGGGAUAACUUCGGGAAACCGGAGCUAAUACCGGAUAAUAUAUUGAACCGCAUGGUUCAAUAGUGAAAGACGGUUUUGCUGUCACUUAUAGAUGGUUCCGCGCCGCAUUAGCUAGUUGGUAAGGUAACGGCUUACCAAGGCGACGAUGCGUAGCCGACCUGAGAGGGUGAUCGGCCACACUGGAACUGAGACACGGUCCAGACGCCUACGGGAGGCAGCAGUAGGGAAUCUUCCGCAAUGGGCGAAAGCCUGACGGAGCAACGCCGCGUGAGUGAUGAAGGUCUUCGGAUCGUAAAACUCUGUUAUUAGGGAAGAACAAAUGUGUAAGUAACUAUGCACGUCUUGACGGUACCUAAUCAGAAAGCCACGGCUAACUACGUG